This 224-nucleotide long non-coding RNA is filed under the name Elaeis guineensis (African oil palm). Its description in RNAcentral is "long non-coding RNA (EGUI_LNC014719)". Lineage: Eukaryota; Viridiplantae; Streptophyta; Magnoliopsida; Arecales; Arecaceae. The record is from RNAcentral.
GCAUAUGAAGCUAGGGUCGAGGAUUAGGGUAAUAUAGGUGAAUGUAUCCAUUUGAAAGAUAUAUGUACAGUCUCAAGAAGAAAGUAAAAAAUAAGGCCAAAGUUGAAGGUUCUACUGUCGAGGCUUAUAUAACUGAAAAAAAUUUUAAUUUCAGUUGAUAUUAUUUAAUCCUAGUAUGCAGACAAAGCUGACUCAAAUGGAUCAAAAUGAUGAUGAUGGUGAUA